This 1661-nucleotide long non-coding RNA is filed under the name Marmota monax (woodchuck). The record is from RNAcentral. Lineage: Eukaryota; Metazoa; Chordata; Mammalia; Rodentia; Sciuridae.
GUGGUGCUGAGGAUCGAACCUGGGCCGCACGCAUGCCAGGCGAGCGGGCUACCACUUGAGCCACAUCCCCAGCCCCAGUAGGUUACUGGACUAAAGGGGACAAAAUUAAAGAACCAAGAUGGUCAGCAAUGCGAAAGGCGAUUACAGGCAAAAAUGACAAAGGAGAAAUCAAGAAAAUGGCAAGGCAGGGAUUAGGCAGAUGUAUGAAAUCUGGGAGGGUCUCUUAAAGGAAUAUGAAUUGUAAAGAAAGACUUUCAUUUACAGAAAGAUAAGGUCUAAUCGUCUAUUUAAAUUUAGGGGAUAGAUUUAUGCAUAUGCCUUUGUAAUUGAAAACAAAGUGGAAUUUUCAAGGCUUAUAUUAAAAAAACACUUGUCAUUUAACCUUUAGGAAGAAAUUUUUAGGAAUAUGCAAGGGAUGUUUAUUAAGAUUAAUAUGCUCUUUGAAACCUCAUAUCAGCUGAAUGUCCUGUCAAAACAAAGUUUGUCAGGCAAAAAUUAAGGCACUACUAGCUGGGCAUCAUGGCAUAUACCUGUAAUCCUAGCAACUCAGGAGGCUAAGGCAGGCCAGCCUCAGCAACCUAGAUUCUGUCUGAAAAGAAAAAAUAAAAAGAACUGAGGAAUAUACCUUAAUGGUAAAGUGCCCCUGGGUUCAAUCCCCAGUACCAAAAAAAAAAGCAGCUCCUACCAUCUCAUUGUCAUAAAUACGUUUAUUAUGUACCAAAGAAGGAGACCUAUCUGCUCACAGAUGUUUUGGUUGUAAUUUGGUUACUGUGCAAGUAUCCCUUGAGGCAUAUUAGAGUUUCAAGGAAUGAGAAUUAAUGACCUAGAAUAUAUUGAUAGUCAGUAGAACUGAUGAUGUAAGGAGCAUUUUAUUUGCAUUGCUCUUCCACUGGCACCCCCAUUCCAGGAGUAUCGGAUAGUCCAGAUUUGUGUGUUCAGGCCAACUUCACUUUCCAGAGGUCUCAUCUAGUAGGUGGAAAGAGAAAGGGUGAAGAGAUGGUAGUCUUCCAGUCAGUGUGUUACUAAAUCCAUACAAAUGUUAAAUUUCAAGGAAAGUUUUUCUGAAUGACAGUUCAGCUAGGGGCAGAGCCAUGAAGUCAUAAUGUGGCCCCUAUUGUAAAGAUGUCAUAGACUGUCAGGGAAGAUUCAGACCUGGACUCAGCAAAUAACUUUGGCAGAGCAGAAACCGCAAUAGGGGUUCACGCUAUAUUUAAGGCACUUAAAGUAUAAAUCCAUUGGUAUGAUGAAUUCCUAACAUGUCAGACACAGUUUAAAUUGUCUCAGAAACCUAGUGAGCUUAAAUCUACAGUUUGAAGUUGGGGAUAUACAGCUCAGUGGUAGCGUGCUUGUCUAGCAUGUGUAACCCCUUGGGUGCAAUCUCAAGCACCCAGGGGGAUUUAAAAAAAAAAAAAAAGAACUUUAAAACAGACAGCUUGAAGAAAACUGAUACUUCAGCUAGGCAGGGCUGAAAUGUAGGUUUAAACUUGGAUGGGGGGGCUGGGGUUGUAGCUCAAGGGUAGAGUGCUUACUUAGCAUGUGUGAGACAAACUUAAGUUUGAUCCUCAGCACCACACACACACACACAAAAAAAAGUUAUAAUAAAAAAAGUUAACACCAAUAUUCCAUUGGAACAGUUAAAAAAAAAAGACUCGGUAGUUUUA